This 92-nucleotide transfer RNA is filed under the name Mycolicibacterium senegalense. Its description in RNAcentral is "tRNA-Leu". Lineage: Bacteria; Bacillati; Actinomycetota; Actinomycetes; Mycobacteriales; Mycobacteriaceae. The record is from RNAcentral.
CCAGCCGAGCUGCGGCCGCGUUGGUGGCCGAAGACGCCGCCGCGUGGUGGUCGAUUGUGAAACCUCGUUCGUGCGACUCGGAUUGGCCGGGC